GCAAGUCGAACGGUAGCACAGAGAGCUUGCUCUCGGGUGACGAGUGGCGGACGGGUGAGUAAUGUCUGGGAAACUGCCUGAUGGAGGGGGAUAACUACUGGAAACGGUAGCUAAUACCGCAUAACGUCGCAAGACCAAAGAGGGGGACCUUCGGGCCUCUUGCCAUCAGAUGUGCCCAGAUGGGAUUAGCUAGUAGGUGGGGUAACGGCUCACCUAGGCGACGAUCCCUAGCUGGUCUGAGAGGAUGACCAGCCACACUGGAACUGAGACACGGUCCAGACUCCUACGGGAGGCAGCAGUGGGGAAUAUUGCACAAUGGGCGCAAGCCUGAUGCAGCCAUGCCGCGUGUAUGAAGAAGGCCUUCGGGUUGUAAAGUACUUUCAGCGGGGAGGAAGGUGUUGUGGUUAAUAACCGCAGCAAUUGACGUUACCCGCAGAAGAAGCACCGGCUAACUCCGUGCCAGCAGCCGCGGUAAUACGGAGGGUGCAAGCGUUAAUCGGAAUUACUGGGCGUAAAGCGCACGCAGGCGGUCUGUCAAGUCGGAUGUGAAAUCCCCGGGCUCAACCUGGGAACUGCAUUCGAAACUGUCAGGCUGUAGUCUUGUACAGGGUAGAAUUCCAGGUGUAGCGGUGAAAUGCUACAAUCUGGA
RNAcentral lists this ribosomal RNA (649 nucleotides) under Enterobacter cloacae. Its description in RNAcentral is "bacterial SSU rRNA". It matches the Rfam family "Bacterial small subunit ribosomal RNA", at positions 57 to 702 of the family's 1533-position model. The record is from RNAcentral. Lineage: Bacteria; Pseudomonadati; Pseudomonadota; Gammaproteobacteria; Enterobacterales; Enterobacteriaceae.